CUACGGGUGGCUGCAGUGAGGAAUAUUGCACAAUGGGGGGAACCCUGAUGCAGCAACGCCGCGUGGAGGAUGACGCAUUUCGGUGUGUAAACUCCUUUUAUAUGUCAAGAAAAUGACGGUAGCAUAUGAAUAAGCACCGGCUAACUCCGUGCCAGCAGCCGCGGUAAUACGGAGGGUGCAAGCGUUACUCGGAAUCACUGGGCGUAAAGGACGCGUAGGCGGGUUGGAAAGCCAGGUGUGAAAUCCUACAGCUUAACUGUAGAACUGCACUUGAAACUUCUAAUCUAGAGUAUGGGAGGGGGAGAUGGAAUUAGUGGUGUAGGGGUAAAAUCCGCAGAUAUCACUAGGAAUACCUAAAGCGAAGGCGAUCUCCUGGAACAUUACUGACGCUAAGGCGUGAAAGCGUGGGGAGCAAGCAGGAUUAGAUACCCUCGUAGUC
Molecule: ribosomal RNA, 439 nt
Filed under: uncultured bacterium
Lineage: Bacteria
Description: partial 16S ribosomal RNA
Rfam family: Bacterial small subunit ribosomal RNA
Source: RNAcentral